This 279-nucleotide ribosomal RNA is filed under the name uncultured bacterium. Its description in RNAcentral is "partial 16S ribosomal RNA". It matches the Rfam family "Bacterial small subunit ribosomal RNA", at positions 506 to 784 of the family's 1533-position model. The record is from RNAcentral.
UGCCAUCCGCCGCGGUAAUACGAAGGGUGCUAGCGUUGUUCGGAAUUACUGGGCGUAAAGAGCAUGUAGGCGGAUGAAUUAGUCAGAGGUGAAAGCCCCGAGCUCAACCCCGGAACUGCCUCCAAAACUGUCGAUCUAGAGACCGGGAGAGGUAAGCGGAAUUCCUAGUGUAGAGGUGAAAUUCGUAGAUAUUAGGAAGAACACCAGUGGCGAAGGCGGCUCACUGGCUCGAUACUGACGCUGAGGUGCGAAAGUGUGGGGAGCAAACAGGAUUAGAUA